RNAcentral lists this ribosomal RNA (1284 nucleotides) under Nematocida major. Its description in RNAcentral is "SSU rRNA". It matches the Rfam family "Microsporidia small subunit ribosomal RNA". Lineage: Eukaryota; Fungi; Microsporidia. The record is from RNAcentral.
GCAACGGGCAANCGGAAGGAAGCGUUGUACAGCUCAAAAGAACAGUUUCAACCGGCUUGGAGGAAAGGGGCGGACAUCCGAGGAAACCUUCGGCCAAGACGACGCACGUCGGGGGGCAUCCACGGAGAAGCAGGACGCCAGAGCAGCGCAGGGCGCGGCCAAACGGGAGACUGUCCUAUUAGCUAGAAGGUAAGGUCAGGGCUUACCUUGGCGACCAUGGGAUACGAGGAAUUGGGGUUUGGUUUCGGAGAGGGAGUGUGAGGUGCGGCUCCUAGAUCCAAGGAUCGCAGCAGGCGCGAAACUUGCUCACUUCCCGGGGGGAGAAGCAGUGAGGAGACAUGCGGGGAAAGAGCGGGCAGCAAAGGAGCGCGCGAGGAGCGAUUGGAGGGCAAGACUGGUGCCAGCAGCCGCGGUAAUACCAGCUUCAAAAGUGUCUGUGGUGUUUGUUGUGAUUAAAAGGUCCGCAGUCGGGGAGAGAGGCCGUGGGGAAAGCAGGCGGCUCAAAGGGAGAGGCAAGCACGGAAAGAACGCGUCAAGAGGGGCAGGCGGGGGCAGGAGAAUUCAGCAGCCAGAGGUGAAAUUCGCAGACUUGCUGGGGGCGGACAGAGGCGAAGGCGCCUGCCAAGGACGCUUUCAUUGAUCAGGGACGAAGGCCGGAGGAUCGAAGACGAUUAGAGACCGUUGUAGUUCCGGCGAUAAACGAUGCCAACUCGGGGGCGUGCGGCCGGGAGGGCGCGGGCGCCCGGAGAGAAAUCGAGUUCGAAGGCUUUAGGGAAAGUACAGUCGCAAGGCAGAAAUUUAAACGGAAAUUGGCGGAUUAAUACACCAGGAGUGGAGCAUGCGGCUUAAUUUGACUCAACACGGGGCAGCUUACCGCUGGAAGACGCUGGGGGGAUCGGGGCGAGAUUUGGCAGAGAAGUGGUGCAUGGCCGCUCUUGGUCCGUGGGGUGACCUGUCAGGUUGAAUCCGCUAACGGGCGCGACGCGCGUGCGCCAAAAGAAAGAGGGUGCAGACGGCCGGCGCGCAGCCGGAGGAGGGCGGGCGAUAGCAGGUCCGUGAUGCCCUUUGAAGCAGCGGGCUGCACGCGUGUUACAGUGUGCGCAGGAGGGGUGCGCCGAGAGGCGCUGCAGCAAACGCGGGCGGGGGAUGCCGGCGAGGGAGCGCGGGCUGAACACGGAAUUUCCAGUACCCGCGGGUCACCAGCCCGCGGAGACAGCGUCCCUGUUUUUUGUACACACCGCCCGUCGCUAUCUGAGAUGGGCGGCGCGGCAAGCGCGNACACGC